AUACCUGGCGGCGUGCUAAUCAUGCAAGUCCAGCGAAUGGAUUGAGAGCUUGCUCUCAAGAAGUUAGCGGCGGACGGGUGAGUAACACGUGGGUAACCUACCCAUAAGACUGGGAUAACUCCGGGAAACCGGGGCUAAUACCGGAUAACAUUUUGAACUGCAUGGUUCGAAAUUGAAAGGCGGCUUCGGCUGUCACUUAUGGAUGGACCCGCGUCGCAUUAGCUAGUUGGUGAGGUAACGGCUCACCAAGGCAACGAUGCGUAGCCGACCUGAGAGGGUGAUCGGCCACACUGGGACUGAGACACGGCCCAGACUCCUACGGGAGGCAGCAGUAGGGAAUCUUCCGCAAUGGACGAAAGUCUGACGGAGCAACGCCGCGUGAGUGAUGAAGGAUUUCGGGUCGUAAAACUCUGUUGUUAGGGAAGAACAAGUGCUAGUUGAAUAAGCUGGCACCUUGACGGUACCUAACCAGAAAGCCACGGCUAACUACGUGCCAGCAGCCGCGGUAAU
Molecule: ribosomal RNA, 510 nt
Filed under: uncultured bacterium
Lineage: Bacteria
Description: bacterial SSU rRNA
Rfam family: Bacterial small subunit ribosomal RNA
Source: RNAcentral